CGGGGUGCAGCAGGCGCGAAAACUUUACAAUGCGGGAAACCGUGAUAAGGGAACUCCGAGUGCCCGUAAAAUCGGGCUGUCCAUCUGUUUAAAUAACAGGUGAAGAAAGGGCCGGGCAAGACCGGUGCCAGCCGCCGCGGUAAUACCGGCGGCUCGAGUGGUGGCCACUAUUACUGGGCUUAAAGCGUUCGUAGCUGGUCUGUUAAGUCUCUGGGGAAAUCUACUGGCUUAACCAAUAGGCGUUUCAGGGAUACUGGCAGACUAGGGACCGGGAGAGGUGAGGGGUACUCCAGGGGUAGGAGUGAAAUCCUGUAAUCCUUGGGGGACCACCUGUGGCGAAGGCGCCUCACCAGAACGGCUCCGACAGUGAGGGACGAAAGCUGGGGGAGCAAACCGGAUUAGAUACCCGGGUAGUCCCAGCCGUAAACGAUGCGCGUUAGGUGUAUCGGUGACCACGAGUCACCGAGGUGCCGAAGAGAAAUCGUGAAACGUGCCGCCUAGGAAGUACGGUCGCAAGGCUGAAACUUAAAGGAAUUGGCGGGGGAGCACAAGGGCGAAUCGCGG
RNAcentral lists this ribosomal RNA (564 nucleotides) under uncultured archaeon. RNAcentral's name for it is "bacterial SSU rRNA". It matches the Rfam family "Archaeal small subunit ribosomal RNA", at positions 326 to 900 of the family's 1478-position model. The record is from RNAcentral.